This 351-nucleotide long non-coding RNA is filed under the name Gopherus agassizii (Agassiz's desert tortoise). RNAcentral describes it as "lncRNA (ENSGAGG00000015374.1)". Lineage: Eukaryota; Metazoa; Chordata; Testudines; Testudinidae. The record is from RNAcentral.
CAUUGACGUAUGGAAGGACAAGAUUGACUGCCGCCUACAUCAGUAAUUAUAUAUGCAUUGUUUUCCGCAACUGGAUCCAGAAUAAAUCAUUUACAACAUUGCCUUGGAAUAACAUUGUCUCCAGAAGCAAGCAAGUACCUUAGGUCAGAAGGUCCUGUGGAGCAUAGAUCGACUCAUCCUCGACCAGGGACAAUGAACCAUUGGGAAACAUAGAUGUUGCAUUUGCUAGCAUGAUGAUGUCAUGGAUGUAGGGGCUAACCAAAGAUGAGAAAAGGAAUUCCUAGCCAACCAUCAAUAUUUGGGUGAGCUGGAGCAGCACUGUAUUCCAUAAAAGCCCGCAACAGCAUACUG